UGGGGAAUUUUGGACAAUGGGGGAAACCCUGAUCCAGCCAUCCCGCGUGUGCGAUGAAGGCCUUCGGGUUGUAAAGCACUUUUGGCAGGAAAGAAACGUCAUGGGUUAAUACCCCGUGAAACUGACGGUACCUGCAGAAUAAGCACCGGCUAACUACGUGCCGGCAGCCGCGGUAAUACGUAGGGUGCAAGCGUUAAUCGGAAUUACUGGGCGUAAAGCGUGCGCAGGCGGUUCGGAAAGAAAGAUGUGAAAUCCCCGAGCUCAACUUUGGAACUGCAUUUUUAACUACCGGGCUAGAGUGUGUCAGAGGGAGGUGGAAUUCCGCGUGUAGCAGUGAAAUGCGUAGAUAUGCGGAGGAACACCGAUGGCGAAGGCAGCCUCCUGGGAUAACACUGACGCUCAUGCACGAAAGCGUGGGGAGCAAACAGG
This 429-nucleotide ribosomal RNA is filed under the name Acidobacteriota bacterium. Its description in RNAcentral is "Acidobacteria bacterium partial 16S ribosomal RNA". It matches the Rfam family "Bacterial small subunit ribosomal RNA", at positions 355 to 776 of the family's 1533-position model. The record is from RNAcentral. Lineage: Bacteria; Pseudomonadati; Acidobacteriota.